This 253-nucleotide ribosomal RNA is filed under the name uncultured bacterium. Its description in RNAcentral is "partial 16S ribosomal RNA". It matches the Rfam family "Bacterial small subunit ribosomal RNA", at positions 524 to 776 of the family's 1533-position model. The record is from RNAcentral.
UACGUAGGGUGCAAGCGUUGUCCGGAAUCAUUGGGCGUAAAGCGCGCGUAGGUGGCUUCGUCAGUCCGUUGUGAAAGUCAAAGGCUCAACCUUUGAAUGCCGAUGGAUACUGCGAAGCUAGAGUACGGAAGAGGCGAGUGGAAUUCCUGGUGUAGCGGUGGAAUGCGCAGAUAUCAGGAGGAACACCAAUAGCGAAGGCAGCUCGCUGGGACGUUACUGACACUAAGGCGCGAAAGCGUGGGGAGCGAACAGG